Molecule: ribosomal RNA, 319 nt
Filed under: uncultured eukaryote
Lineage: Eukaryota
Description: partial 18S ribosomal RNA
Rfam family: Eukaryotic small subunit ribosomal RNA
Source: RNAcentral
CCCCUAGAUGUUCUGGGCCGCACGCGCGCUACACUGAACAGUUCAACAAGUCUUAACCUUGGCCGAUAGGUCUGGGUAAUCUUUGAACGCUGUUCGUGAUUGGGAUAGACCUUUGCAAUUAUGGGUCUUCAACGAGGAAUUCCUAGUAAACGCAAGUCAUCAGCUUGCAUUGAUUACGUCCCUGCCCUUUGUACACACCGCCCGUCGCACCUACCGAUUGAAUGGUCCGGUGAAUGACUCGGACUGCUGCCGGCAUUCACGUGCUGACGGUGGAAAGUUUUGUAAACCUUAUCACUUAGAGGAAGGAGAAGUCGUAACA